This is a ribosomal RNA of 960 nucleotides. It matches the Rfam family "Bacterial small subunit ribosomal RNA", at positions 69 to 1026 of the family's 1533-position model.
GAAACAUGUCUAGCUUGCUAGAUGAUGUCGAGUGGCGGACGGGUGAGUAAUGCUUGGGAACUUGCCUUUGCGAGGGGGAUAACAGUUGGAAACGACUGCUAAUACCGCAUAAUGUCUUCGGACCAAACGGGGCUUCGGCUCCGGCGCAAAGAGAGGCCCAAGUGAGAUUAGCUAGUUGGUGAGGUAAAGGCUCACCAAGGCAACGAUCUCUAGCUGUUCUGAGAGGAAGAUCAGCCACACUGGGACUGAGACACGGCCCAGACUCCUACGGGAGGCAGCAGUGGGGAAUAUUGCACAAUGGGGGAAACCCUGAUGCAGCCAUGCCGCGUGUGUGAAGAAGGCCUUCGGGUUGUAAAGCACUUUCAGUUGUGAGGAAAAGUUAGUAGUUAAUACCUGCUAGCCGUGACGUUAACAACAGAAGAAGCACCGGCUAACUCCGUGCCAGCAGCCGCGGUAAUACGGAGGGUGCGAGCGUUAAUCGGAAUUACUGGGCGUAAAGCGCACGCAGGCGGUUUGUUAAGCUAGAUGUGAAAGCCCCGGGCUCAACCUGGGACGGUCAUUUAGAACUGGCAGACUAGAGUCUUGGAGAGGGGAGUGGAAUUCCAGGUGUAGCGGUGAAAUGCGUAGAUAUCUGGAGGAACAUCAGUGGCGAAGGCGACUCCCUGGCCAAAGACUGACGCUCAUGUGCGAAAGUGUGGGUAGCGAACAGGAUUAGAUACCCUGGUAGUCCACACCGUAAACGCUGUCUACUAGCUGUUUGUGACUUUAAGUCGUGAGUAGCGAAGCUAACGCGAUAAGUAGACCGCCUGGGGAGUACGGCCGCAAGGUUAAAACUCAAAUGAAUUGACGGGGGCCCGCACAAGCGGUGGAGCAUGUGGUUUAAUUCGAUGCAACGCGAAGAACCUUACCUACACUUGACAUGUUGAGAAGUUACCAGAGAUGGUUUCGUGCCUUCGGGAA